ACCUACGGGGGGCAGCAGUGGGGAAUAUUGCACAAUGGGGGAAACCCUGAUGCAGCGACGCCGCGUGAGUGAAGAAGUAUUUCGGUAUGUAAAGCUCUAUCAGCAGGGAAGAAAAUGACGGUACCUGACUAAGAAGCCCCGGCUAACUACGUGCCAGCAGCCGCGGUAAUACGUAGGGGGCAAGCGUUAUCCGGAUUUACUGGGUGUAAAGGGAGCGUAGACGGGGAUGCAAGUCAGAAGUGAAAGCCCGCGGCUCAACUGCGGGACUGCUUUUGAAACUGUAUGACUGGAGUGCAGGAGAGGUA
RNAcentral lists this ribosomal RNA (305 nucleotides) under uncultured bacterium. Its description in RNAcentral is "bacterial SSU rRNA". It matches the Rfam family "Bacterial small subunit ribosomal RNA", at positions 337 to 659 of the family's 1533-position model. The record is from RNAcentral.